Long non-coding RNA from Phragmites australis (common reed), 303 nucleotides. RefSeq lists it as uncharacterized. Lineage: Eukaryota; Viridiplantae; Streptophyta; Magnoliopsida; Poales; Poaceae. The record is from RefSeq and is a predicted model, not a curated record. The transcript is spliced from 3 exons.
UCUAGGAGUUAGGGUUUUGGGAAGUGUUGAUUCAAGGAGCCCGUUAGGGGAAUCGAAUCUGCAUUCUUCCCCUAAAAUUUUGUUUUGGAUGAUAUUUGUGUUUCAAUUGAUCAGCCUUGGCUCACGACACGAUGACGCAGAUCUAGAGUUUUUUAUUGGAUCAUUUCAGCAAGGCACUUUUGAACUCCAUUUGGAAAAGAAGAAGUCAAUUGUUGAACUAUGAUGCAAAAUCAGUACAAGGAUCAAAAUUUUCUCAUUGGUGUAAUGCCUUAUAAAAUAAGCUUUAUUCUAUUUCAAGUUGAU